RNAcentral lists this ribosomal RNA (301 nucleotides) under uncultured bacterium. RNAcentral's name for it is "partial 16S ribosomal RNA". It matches the Rfam family "Bacterial small subunit ribosomal RNA", at positions 509 to 808 of the family's 1533-position model. The record is from RNAcentral.
CAGUAGCCGCGGGAAUACGUAGGUCCCGAGCGUUGUCCGGAUUUAUUGGGCGUAAAGCGAGCGCAGGCGGUUAGAUAAGUCUGAAGUUAAAGGCUGUGGCUUAACCAUAGUACGCUUUGGAAACUGUUUAACUUGAGUGCAAGAGGGGAGAGUGGAAUUCCAUGUGUAGCGGUGAAAUGCGUAGAUAUAUGGAGGAACACCGGUGGCGAAAGCGGCUCUCUGGCUUGUAACUGAUGCUGAGGCUCGAAAGCGUGGGGAGCAAACAGGAUUAGAUACCCCGGUAGUCCCUGUCUCUUAUACA